Molecule: ribosomal RNA, 253 nt
Filed under: uncultured bacterium
Lineage: Bacteria
Description: partial 16S ribosomal RNA
Rfam family: Bacterial small subunit ribosomal RNA
Source: RNAcentral
UACAGAGGUCCCAAGCGUUGUUCGGAUUCACUGGGCGUAAAGGGUGCGUCGGUGGUCGGGUAAGUUUAAGGUGAAAGCUCCGGGCUCAACCCGGAAAUGGCCUUGAAUACUAUCCGGCUCGAGGGUUGGAGGGGGGACUGGAAUUCUCGGUGUAGCAGUGAAAUGCGUAGAGAUCGGGAGGAACACCAGUGGCGAAGGCGGCCAUCUGGAUCAACACUGACGCUGAGGCACGAAAGCGUGGGGAGCAAACAGG